AACGAACGCUGGCGGCAUGCCUAACACAUGCCAGUCGAACGAGACCUUCGGGUCUAGGGGCGCAUGGGUGCGUAACGCGUGGGAACCUGCCCUUAGGUUCGGAAUAACUCCCCGAAAGGGGUGCUAAUACCGGAUAAUGUCUUCGGACCAAAGAUUUAUCGCCUUUGGAUGGGCCCGCGUUGGAUUAGGUAGUUGGUAGGGUAAAAGCCUACUAAGGCGACGAUCCAUAGCUGGUCUGAGAGGAUGAUCAGCCACACUGGGACUGAGACACGGCCCAGACUCCUACGGGAGGCAGCAGUGGGGAAUAUUGGACAAUGGGCGAAAGCCUGAUCCAGCAAUGCCGCGUGAGUGAUGAAGGCCUUAGGGUUGUAAAGCUCUUUUACCCGGGAUGAUAAUGACAGUACCGGGAGAAUAAGCUCCGGCUAACUCCGUG
Molecule: ribosomal RNA, 433 nt
Filed under: uncultured bacterium
Lineage: Bacteria
Description: partial 16S ribosomal RNA
Rfam family: Bacterial small subunit ribosomal RNA
Source: RNAcentral